Pelobates cultripes (western spadefoot toad) is the source of this 204-nucleotide non-coding RNA. The record is from the annotation of a GenBank genome assembly. NCBI's taxonomy places the organism in Eukaryota, Metazoa, Chordata, Amphibia, Anura, Pelobatidae.
GGAAUCUGGUCUGGACUUCAAACUUACACAGUAAAGAAAAAAGGGAAUUGGGGGCAUGCCUAGAACAUGCAAUUCUCAGCAAUGGUGCUGCCCUAGAGACAAAACUUUAUAAAACAUACAGGUUAAGGAACAGCUUGCACAUAAAAAUGACAUUCUAAAAAUGUAUAAGACUACUUAAAAUCACCUGUCUCAGCAAAUAAAUAU